CCCCCGUAAGGCAACGGGUUUUGGUCCCGUUACUCGGAGGUUCGAAUCCUUCCGUCCCAGA
This 61-nucleotide transfer RNA is filed under the name Stelis ciliaris. RNAcentral describes it as "partial tRNA-Gln". The record is from RNAcentral. Lineage: Eukaryota; Viridiplantae; Streptophyta; Magnoliopsida; Asparagales; Orchidaceae.